This 253-nucleotide ribosomal RNA is filed under the name uncultured bacterium. RNAcentral describes it as "partial 16S ribosomal RNA". It matches the Rfam family "Bacterial small subunit ribosomal RNA", at positions 524 to 776 of the family's 1533-position model. The record is from RNAcentral.
UACAGAGGGUGCGAGCGUUAAUCGGAAUUACUGGGCGUAAAGGGCGCGUAGGCGGCCUGCUAAGUCGGACGUGAAAUCCCCCGGCUCAACCGGGGAACUGCGUCCGAUACUGGUGGGCUCGAAUCCGGGAGAGGGAUGUGGAAUUCCAGGUGUAGAGGUGAAAUUCGUAGAUAUUGGGAAGAACACCGGUGGCGAAGGCGGCGACCUGGUCCUUGACUGACGCUGAGGCGCGAAAGCGUGGGGAGCAAACAGG